GACGAACGCUGGCGGCGUGCUUAACACAUGCAAGUCGAACGGAAAGGCUCCAGCUUGCUGGAGUGCUCGAGUGGCGAACGGGUGAGUAACACGUGGGCAAUCUGCCCUGCACUCUGGGAUAAGCCUGGGAAACUGGGUCUAAUACCGGAUAGGACCUUUCUCCUCAUGGGGUUUGGUGGAAAGUUUUUCGGUGCAGGAUGAGCCCGCGGCCUAUCAGCUUGUUGGUGGGGUAAUGGCCUACCAAGGCGACGACGGGUAGCCGGCCUGAGAGGGUGAUCGGCCACAUUGGGACUGAGAUACGGCCCAGACUCCUACGGGAGGCAGAAGUGGGGAAUAUUGCACAAUGGGCGAAAGCCUGAUGCAGCGACGCCGCGUGAGGGAUGACGGCCUUCGGGUUGUAAACCUCUUUCAGUAGGGACGAAGCGCAAGUGACGGUACCUGCAGAAGAAGCACCGGCUAACUACGUG
RNAcentral lists this ribosomal RNA (467 nucleotides) under uncultured bacterium. RNAcentral describes it as "partial 16S ribosomal RNA". It matches the Rfam family "Bacterial small subunit ribosomal RNA", at positions 28 to 507 of the family's 1533-position model. The record is from RNAcentral.